This is a long non-coding RNA of Phyllostomus discolor (pale spear-nosed bat), 419 nucleotides long. RefSeq lists it as uncharacterized. NCBI's taxonomy places the organism in Eukaryota, Metazoa, Chordata, Mammalia, Chiroptera, Phyllostomidae. The record is from RefSeq and is a predicted model, not a curated record. The transcript is spliced from 3 exons.
UGGACGCUGGGCAGUAGGGGACCACACUAGCAGGUCCCUAUUGCUUCAGGCUAUCGGGCCACUCGUUCGACCGUGGUCCACUGGUUCUGGGACUACGAACGGGGGGCGCCCAGCCGCAGGCUUGACACAACCAGCGUCAACCUCUUCAACUGGCUGUCAGAGCACAGUCUUCCAGGCUCGGGCAAGAUUGCUGAGCUCAUAAGUGAGGACCUGUGGCCCAGCCCCCUGAGGCACUACCUCAGGGGUACAAAGGCCCCAGUGGAGGGAGCCCAGACAGGACCGGUCGUCGCUGAGGAGCCUGUGGGCUAGGUGUGUGCAGGAACAAAGGCUGCCCAAGGGAUCGCCUGUGGAUGUGGGCGCAGAGAGUUUCCCUCAUGUACCUGAGUGACGGGGGAAGGCACAUAAAGUUCUCAGCAGUG